CAAACCUAAACACAGAGAGGAGAAGGACAGGAGAAACAACAAUGGCCUUUCUAAAAACCCACAGACUGAACAGUCUUUUAAUGGCAGAGUUAAGCCAUAGCCACCUCCUGUUUCCAAUGAAGAGAGGUCAGAAAAACUAAAGGAAUGAGCCAGGAUGUCCUUGGAACCACAGUAGAGGGAACAGCCAUCUUGCCAGCGCAACCCAAUGAAAAGCCCCUAGUAGUGCGCCAGAAUGAAUUGGAGGUCAACCAAUCACCGAGCGAGGC
Molecule: long non-coding RNA, 266 nt
Organism: Neofelis nebulosa (Clouded leopard)
Lineage: Eukaryota; Metazoa; Chordata; Mammalia; Carnivora; Felidae
Exons: 3
Source: RefSeq, a predicted model, not a curated record